UGACCCGCAAGGGUCACCUAGCCAACUGACGUUGUUAGUGAAUAAUCAAUGUUCACAAAUAACAGCCAAUAGACUCAUUCUAUUGGCUAUUUUUUU
Vibrio cholerae O1 is the source of this 96-nucleotide small RNA. It matches the Rfam family "Qrr RNA". Rfam says of the family: This family represents a set of small RNAs (the Qrr RNAs) that are thought to be involved in the regulation of quorum sensing in Vibrio species. The record is from Rfam. NCBI's taxonomy places the organism in Bacteria, Pseudomonadati, Pseudomonadota, Gammaproteobacteria, Vibrionales, Vibrionaceae.